GCGACGAUAGCUCAGUGGGUAAAGAACGAAAAGAUGGCGAAUCUGCACGGGUUCGAAUCCCGCCUGUCGCA
Aromia moschata is the source of this 71-nucleotide non-coding RNA. The record is from the annotation of a GenBank genome assembly. NCBI's taxonomy places the organism in Eukaryota, Metazoa, Arthropoda, Insecta, Coleoptera, Cerambycidae.